Molecule: ribosomal RNA, 492 nt
Filed under: uncultured bacterium
Lineage: Bacteria
Description: partial 16S ribosomal RNA
Rfam family: Bacterial small subunit ribosomal RNA
Source: RNAcentral
AGUGAACGCUGGCGGUAGGCCUAACACAUGCAAGUCGAACGGCAGCACAGUAAGAGCUUGCUCUUACGGGUGGCGAGUGGCGGACGGGUGAGGAAUACAUCGGAAUCUACUUUUUCGUGGGGGAUAACGUAGGGAAACUUACGCUAAUACCGCAUACGACCUACGGGUGAAAGCAGGGGAUCUUCGGACCUUGCGCGAUUGAAUGAGCCGAUGUCGGAUUAGCUAGUUGGCGGGGUAAAGGCCCACCAAGGCGGCGAUCCGUAGCUGGUCUGAGAGGAUGAUCGGCCACACGAGAACGGGGACACGGACAAGACUCCUACGGGAGGCAGCAGUGGGGAAUAUUGGACAAUGGGGGCAAGCCUGAUCCAGCCAGACCGCGUGGGUGAAGAAGGCGUUCGGGUUGUAAAGCCCUUUUGUUGGGAAAGAAAAGCAGCAGGUUAAUACCCCGCUGUUCUGACGGUACCCAAAGAAUAAGCACCGGCUAACUUCGUG